GAUGAACGCUAGCGAUAGGCUUAACACAUGCAAGUCGAGGGGCAGCACAAGGUAGCUUGCUAUCUGGGUGGCGACCGGCGCACGGGUGCGUAACGCGUAUGCAACUUGCCCUAUACAGGAGGAUAACCCGUCGAAAGACGGACUAAUACUGCGUAUGCUCACAACUUGGCAUCAAGUGGUGAGGAAAGAAAUUCGGUAUAGGAUAGGCAUGCGUCCCAUUAGCUUGUUGGUGAGGUAACGGCUCACCAAGGCAACGAUGGGUAGGGGAACUGAGAGGUUUAUCCCCCACACUGGUACUGAGACACGGACCAGACUCCUACGGGAGGCAGCAGUAAGGAAUAUUGGUAAAUGGGCGCGAGCCUGAACCAGCCAAGUCGCGUGAAGGAGGACUGUCUUAUGGAUUGUAAACUUCUAUUAAACGGGAAUAACAAGAGUCACGAGUGACUCCCUGCAUGUACCGUAUGAAUAAGCAUCGGCUAACUACGUG
This 487-nucleotide ribosomal RNA is filed under the name uncultured bacterium. RNAcentral's name for it is "partial 16S ribosomal RNA". It matches the Rfam family "Bacterial small subunit ribosomal RNA", at positions 28 to 507 of the family's 1533-position model. The record is from RNAcentral.